Molecule: long non-coding RNA, 239 nt
Filed under: Lathyrus oleraceus (garden pea)
Lineage: Eukaryota; Viridiplantae; Streptophyta; Magnoliopsida; Fabales; Fabaceae
Description: Pisum sativum (pea) long non-coding RNA (PSAT_LNC024272)
Source: RNAcentral
GCAAGAUAAUGAUCUCUCUCAGCAAUAAUCUUCGUGUGCUCUUCCUCCUUAACUUUCAGCUUUACUUCCCACUCGGUGGUAAGGACUUUGGCUUUAACUUCUCUCUGAUUCUUCACAAGGACUUGUCUCCUCUUCUCAUCUUCAAUGACGUUCAACGCUCUAGCCAACUUCUCCUUGGUAAUGUCGUGCUCCUUCAUAGAUGACUCUAAAGCUUGGCUGAUCUUGCAAUAAUAAGCGGU